Molecule: ribosomal RNA, 192 nt
Filed under: Triticum aestivum (bread wheat)
Lineage: Eukaryota; Viridiplantae; Streptophyta; Magnoliopsida; Poales; Poaceae
Description: partial small subunit ribosomal RNA
Source: RNAcentral
UUGCAAGUAACUUCGCCAGAUGAUUCGAUGUCAGCUUACGAGAUUCUUCAUUUUGUUCCAGAUGUAUAUUGCUAUCCAAAUGUUUUUGUUGCCUAUCAAAUCCUCUUAACGGUACAAGUGACAAUAGCCUCAGCUGAUUUUUUUUCUAAAGUGAAACUACUGAAAAAUCGGUUGAGGUCAACUAUGUUAUAA